This 114-nucleotide small nuclear RNA is filed under the name Erinaceus europaeus (western European hedgehog). RNAcentral's name for it is "U4 spliceosomal RNA". It matches the Rfam family "U4 spliceosomal RNA". From Rfam's summary of the family: U4 small nuclear RNA (U4 snRNA) is a component of the major U2-dependent spliceosome. The structure of U4 snRNA from yeast and human has been reported. The record is from Rfam by way of RNAcentral. Lineage: Eukaryota; Metazoa; Chordata; Mammalia; Eulipotyphla; Erinaceidae.
AGCUUUGCGCAGUGGCAGUAUCGUAGCCAAUGAGGUUUAUCCGAGGCGCGAUUAUUGCUAAUUGAAAACAUUUGAACUUCUUUCAAAGGUAUAAACAGGACUUACAAAAGUGUA